CCUUCUCUCUCCCUUGAUCCUUACACUCUAUUUGGAUACAGUAAAAUAAAACAGAUUUUCAUUUAAAAUACAAAAUUUGGAAUGGGAAAGCAGUUUUCCCUUGUUUGGGAACUUGUAGUGUGAGAAUAGCCAAUUUCUACAAAAAAAAAGGGGAAAUUUGGGAUGAAGAUUACCGAGUUUAAUUUCCGUCUAAAUAGGUGGAAUUCACAAUUCCAACAACAAGGAGAAUCCCAAAUCCAUUGGCUGGAAAUCUUGCACGCGCCAAAUUUCAUGAUUAGGGCGCCAAACUGGGAUGAUUAGCGCCAAAGUUCACAAUAAAAAGGGCUUCACUCUGUUAGCUCUCCAAUCUUCGAAGGGAGUCUCGCUCAUGCUUUAUCUUCUUCUUUCAUUCUAGGUACUGCCAAAUGGACAACGUUUCGUGAUACAUUGGCAUUGCAGAUGUUCCAUGAUUACCAAGGAGCAAUGGAAGGAUUCGAUAGAAAACCAGUAUGCAAACAAAAACCAGGGAAAAAGAAAGAGAACCAAAAAUUGAAAAUGAAGGAGAUGAAAAUAAUUAUUUUAGAUGGAAUGUAGACAUGGAACGUGCUUUUGGCUAACAUAUUUCGCAAAGAACGAAGAUUGGGUAACAAAGGAGAUGGUGGUUGGAAUACAGCUGCUUAUAAUUUUACUGCAUUUAUAUUAUCUACUCAAUUUGAUAUUCAUGUAACUGCCGAUAACAUUCGAAAUCAUGUGAAGUGUUGGAAAAAGCUCUAUGCAAUAGUGAGUGAUAUACUAAAUUAAAGUGGAUUUAGUUGGGAUGCAACCAAAAAGAUGAUAAGUGUAGAUGAAGAUCAUGUCUGGCAAGAGUACGUGAAGGUAUGACAAAUUCAUUCUUUUCCUUUUGUUUGUGUGAUAUUCUUUUAACUCUUCUUAUACUUAUGGUUUGUUUUUUAUUUUUAUGUUUUGAUUGGUAGUCACAUAGUGGUGCUAAAAGUUUUUGUUGGAAGGUCAUUCCAAAUUAGGAUGAUAUAGUGGAUUUGUGUGGUAAAGAUAGAGCCACGGGUGAGGGUGCUGAAAUAGGUGUGGAAGCUAUUGAGAUUAUGACUCCUCCGCAUAAUGAAACUAAUCAUAUUGAUUUGGAUAGUGAUACGCAAGGUUUAGAAGAUAUUGAAAUUAUUAAUGAUAUUUCACCUACUUCAACCAUUGGUCAAAAGGCUCAUAGCAAGAGAAAGCCAACAAAUUUUGUUGAUGUGCCUCAUACAAAGAAAAAACCAACCACCCCUAAAGAUAUGAUUGCAAAUUCACUUGCCAAGAUGGCUUCAUCCUUUCAAGACUAUAUUUGUGUAGACACAAAGAAGCUUGAUCGAACAGAGGUAUAUGAUGAAGUAAAUGCAAUACCAGAUCUCAGUGAGAAGAACAAAUCAAAGCAUGUGCUUGGUUGAUCAAAAAUGACAAGCAAUUUCUCAUGUUGAAGACACUCCCAGUUGAGAAGAAAAAUAAAAUGGUAUUAUUGUUUACUUCACGAGGCGCAUAGGAUUGUUUUCAUUAUAUUUCCCAUUUUAGUGUUUUUCAGUAAGAUAUUAGUUAAAAUAAAAGCUUUGCAUGUCAUGAAAGUUCAUUGACAUUUGCAAGUGUGCUUUACUGGGAUUUUUCUACUUCAAUCAACUUUAUCAUAUUAUUGCAGACUCAUCACAUUAUUGCAGCUAUUAAUUGUUGGAAAAUUUACUCUAAUUUUAACUAAUAUCUUGAUGAUGUAUCA
Pyrus x bretschneideri (Chinese white pear) is the source of this 1738-nucleotide long non-coding RNA. RefSeq lists it as uncharacterized. Lineage: Eukaryota; Viridiplantae; Streptophyta; Magnoliopsida; Rosales; Rosaceae. The record is from RefSeq and is a predicted model, not a curated record. The transcript is spliced from 3 exons.